Molecule: ribosomal RNA, 460 nt
Filed under: uncultured bacterium
Lineage: Bacteria
Description: partial 16S ribosomal RNA
Rfam family: Bacterial small subunit ribosomal RNA
Source: RNAcentral
CCUACGGGAGGCUGCAGUGAGGAAUAUUGGUCAAUGGACGAGAGUCUGAACCAGCCAAGUAGCGUGAAGGAUGACUGCCCUACGGGUUGUAAACUUCUUUUAUAUGGGAAUAAACUGUUCCACGUGUGGGAUUUUGUAUGUACCAUAUGAAUAAGGAUCGGCUAACUCCGUGCCAGCAGCCGCGGUAAUACGGAGGAUCCGAGCGUUAUCCGGAUUUAUUGGGUUUAAAGGGAGCGUAGGUGGAUUGUUAAGUCAGUUGUGAAAGUUUGCGGCUCAACCGUAAAAUUGCAGUUGAUACUGGCAGUCUUGAGUACAGUAGAGGUGGGCGGAAUUCGUGGUGUAGCGGUGAAAUGCUUAGAUAUCACGAAGAACUCCGAUUGCGAAGGCAGUUCACUGGACUGCAACUGACACUGAGGCUCGAAAGUGUGGGUAUCAAACAGGAUUAGAUACCCCUGUAGUC